This 758-nucleotide long non-coding RNA is filed under the name Equus asinus (donkey). RNAcentral describes it as "lncRNA (ENSEASG00005028573.1)". Lineage: Eukaryota; Metazoa; Chordata; Mammalia; Perissodactyla; Equidae. The record is from RNAcentral.
UCUCACUUCUCUCGUUCUUUUCACAUCGUCAGCUGGACAUUUCCACCUGAAUGUUUCAAUAGCCCUUCCAGUUCACAGUAUAAAAUGCUGACUUGAUCAUCUUUCCUGUGAGCUCUCCUAUUUCUGAUCUCGAUCCUGUAUUCUCUUGAUGUGGCGGAUGAGAUCAUGCCUCUGGCUGGCAGGUACCCACCUAAAUUGAGAUCUUCUAUUCAUUCUGGAGGCUCAAGAAAUGCUCAUUUUUUGUUUCUAAAUCAAGUGGCUGUAUCGUCACAAUGUUGAGAGUGCUGUUAUUCCUGUGUUCAUCAGCAAGCCACAGCUUUCUCAAAGAUGGUUGUCUCAAAUGAGUGAGAAGAGAUGCUGUCCCUAGGGGAAGAUGUUCUAACUCCAGUCUUUUUAAGAGAUUAGGUUUCCCAUGUGGAAGACUCGAAAAUCCAUGGGACCUGUGAGGGAAGGAGACUGAAGGAAGAGACAAGUAGAGGAAGCUGAUGAGAAGCUAUGAAGCAGCAGCCCUGCGGAAAGGCUUGGGAUCCAGUCACACGAGCCUGUAAGAGUGAUUUCUCCUCCAUGUCAUAACUCACCUGAUCCCAGGAGACAAAGGGAUAGAAGGUCCCAGUUGAUGUGGCCAGACCUCUAGGAUGGCCUAAGUGGGAACCUGGAUGGUCUUCCAUGAUCCAUUCAUUCCUUAAAGACUGUCCACUGGUGCCCAGAACUACUGUUGGUAUUGGGAAUAACACAGGGAAUAAAGACAUCUGCAUCAC